CAAACGACUCUCGGCAACGGAUAUCUCGGCUCUCGCAUCGAUGAAGAACGUAGCGAAAUGCGAUACUUGGUGUGAAUUGCAGAAUCCCGUGAACCAUCGAGUCUUUGAACGCAAGUUGCGCCCGAAGCCAUCCGGCCGAGGGCACGUCUGCCUGGGCGUCACGC
Molecule: ribosomal RNA, 164 nt
Filed under: Annesorhiza altiscapa
Lineage: Eukaryota; Viridiplantae; Streptophyta; Magnoliopsida; Apiales; Apiaceae
Also listed under: 8 other names
Description: 5.8S ribosomal RNA
Rfam family: 5.8S ribosomal RNA
About the family: 5.8S ribosomal RNA (5.8S rRNA) is a component of the large subunit of the eukaryotic ribosome.
Source: RNAcentral